Molecule: ribosomal RNA, 253 nt
Filed under: uncultured bacterium
Lineage: Bacteria
Description: partial 16S ribosomal RNA
Rfam family: Bacterial small subunit ribosomal RNA
Source: RNAcentral
UACAGAGGGGGCAAGCGUUGUUCGGAAUUACUGGGCGUAAAGGGCGCGUAGGCGGCCCGCUAAGUCGAACGUGAAAUCCCCGGGCUCAACCCGGGAACUGCGUCCGAUACUGGCGGGCUUGAAUCCGGGAGAGGGAUGCGGAAUUUCAGGUGUAGCGGUGAAAUGCGUAGAUAUCUGGAGGAACACCGGUGGCGAAGGCGGCAUCCUGGACCGGUAUUGACGCUGAGGCGCGAAAGCCAGGGGAGCAAACGGG